Molecule: long non-coding RNA, 534 nt
Organism: Trifolium pratense (red clover)
Lineage: Eukaryota; Viridiplantae; Streptophyta; Magnoliopsida; Fabales; Fabaceae
Exons: 2
Source: RefSeq, a predicted model, not a curated record
UAGAUUUUCCCUUCUCUAUUAUGAAGGGAUAAAAAUAGAUAUAAAAAAAUAUAAUGUAAGGUCAAGUAAUUAAUUGAAUGAGCUAAAGAGACAAACAUAUUUUAUGCAUACAUCUAAGAAACAUUAAUUUAAUAAUAAUUAUGAUUUUAAGAAUAGUUUCAAAUUAACAAGCAUGAAGUUUUUUCACACUAUAAAGCUACCAAAUGAUUCUUAUUUCUAGAUUCAUAAAAGUAAAAAUAUGGUUAAAGUUUAUAUGUUUAUUUAUGCUAUGGUUAUCUUUUUUUCCAUAUUAAUUUCUAUAGCAAAUAGCUUGUUCUUCAUGUGCCGAACUAACGAUGAUUGUCGAUAUCUUCCGUGUAUUGAUGAAAUUAGUGGUGAAAUUAGUGGUGAAAUUCCAGCCUGUGGGUUUCCAUUUCAUGUGACCGGAUCUGAGGGAUUUGGAAUUUGUGGAUGUUAUGAGAAGGUCCCAAGUACAUUGCACAAAAUUAGUGGCUUGUGAAUGUAUACUUAUGUAUAAAGCAGUAAAAUUUAAUU